RNAcentral lists this unclassified non-coding RNA (295 nucleotides) under uncultured fungus. RNAcentral describes it as "sequence contains ITS2". The record is from RNAcentral. Lineage: Eukaryota; Fungi.
UUUCACCUCACACAACCAAUGGUUUUUAAAAGCUGUAAUGGCGCCAAGUGGUUAAUGUGGUAUUGAGUGUUUUCCCACUUGGUAAACGAGAGGGUCACUUGAAAUGCUUGGUAGCUUUAUGAGUCCGAUAAUGCUUCGCAUAUUUCGAAAAGCUCAAAGUACCGCUAAGUUUAAGCCUUUAUUGGUCACUCUUUAGCUGGGAAAUUUUUGAAAUGAAGUACUUGUCAAUGACUUUAUACCAAACCUGAUAUUGAAUAGCAGUCGUAGUUACUGUAACUAUUCAAAAUCUUUGAAC